This 697-nucleotide ribosomal RNA is filed under the name Hypocopra dolichopoda. RNAcentral's name for it is "partial large subunit ribosomal RNA". It matches the Rfam family "Eukaryotic large subunit ribosomal RNA", at positions 198 to 918 of the family's 3401-position model. Lineage: Eukaryota; Fungi; Ascomycota; Sordariomycetes; Xylariales; Xylariaceae. The record is from RNAcentral.
GGACGCCUUAGAGGGUGAGAGCCCCGUACGGUUGGACACCAAGCCUCUGUAAAGCUCCUUCGACGAGUCGAGUAGUUUGGGAAUGCUGCUCUAAAUGGGAGGUAAAUUUCUUCUAAAGCUAAAUAUUGGCCAGAGACCGAUAGCGCACAAGUAGAGUGAUCGAAAGAUGAAAAGCACUUUGAAAAGAGGGUUAAAUAGCACGUGAAAUUGUUGAAAGGGAAGCGUUUGCGACCAGACCUUUUCCUGGCGGAUCAUCCGGUGUUCUCACCGGUGCACUUCGCCAGGUUGAGGCCAGCAUCGGUUUCCGCAGGGGGAUAAAAGCUUGGGGAAUGUGGCUCCUCCGGGAGUGUUAUAGCCCCUCGCAUAAUGCCCUUGCGGGGACCGAGGACCGCGCUUCGGCAAGGAUGCUGGCGUAAUGGUCGUCAACGACCCGUCUUGAAACACGGACCAAGGAGUCGAACAUUUGUGCGAGUGUUUGGGUGUCAAACCCUCACGCGUAAUGAAAGUGAACGGAGGUGAGAGCCCUCGCGGGUGCAUCAUCGACCGAUCCUGAUGUCUUCGGAUGGAUUUGAGUAGGAGCAUAACUGUUCGGACCCGAAAGAUGGUGAACUAUGCGUGGAUAGGGUGAAGCCAGAGGAAACUCUGGUGGAGGCUCGCAGCGGUUCUGACGUGCAAAUCGAUCGUCAAAUCUGCGCAU